Parus major (Great Tit) is the source of this 13838-nucleotide long non-coding RNA. RefSeq lists it as uncharacterized. The transcript is spliced from 3 exons. The record is from RefSeq and is a predicted model, not a curated record. Lineage: Eukaryota; Metazoa; Chordata; Aves; Passeriformes; Paridae.
UCCUCGAGUCUCCUCGAGUCUCCUCUCCUCUCCAUGCAAAAUGCAAAUGUCCAGAGAAAUUCCCCAAAAUUUGAAAAGAAAAUAUGCUUGCCCAGCUCCAGUGUGAUCCUUAUGACAUACAAGGUCUUUAUGUUUGGUUUCUUUCCUUUGAUGUGAAUGAACUUGCCUGGAGUUAAGUGAUUAGUCAUUACUUGAAUGGCUCCAUCUUGGUGGUGUUGGUGACUAAGUGUAGCUACCCAAAUUUAAUUUUUUUUUUUAGAAAAGGUACUUACCUUAAUGCUUUUAGCAUUAAAAAUGGUGGAACUGGAACCUUUUUAUUCUUUUUUGUGCCUCAUAUAACUUCAUCUAUGCAAUAUAGUAACUUGUGGUAGAACAAGGAAUCUAUUUGUUUUGUUUUGGAGGAGCCAGGAAAGUUCUAAAACAAUUUUCAAGUACCACAGUUUUUUAACAAAAGCAGCUUGGGUAUAAUGUUUCUUGUAUUGGGUAAUAAAACUUGGAUCAAUAUUCAUUGCUACUCUUAUUUGAUUUCGCAAUCCAGGUACCAGAAUAAAAAAAAAAACAACCAAAAAAGGCCACAACCAUCAAACAAAACCACUGGCAAUUUACUUGCAUAAUAUGAAUUUUUGCAGUUGAGUUCUCCACAAUAUAUUUUACUUGCAGAUUUCAAAGGAUGAAAAACAGUGAUAACUUUAAUUAAUAUAUUAAAGGUGAGUAAUAUUUUCAUAUUACCUUUUAAAGAUAUUUUCAAUCCCCCAGAAAUUUUAAAUGAGGGUAAUUAAUUUGGAAUUUUAGUGUACCAUGAAAAUGGCACACAUUUUAUGUCCAUUAAACUGGCAGCAAAGCAGACUGGUGGGCAUUUAGUACAAGUACAUGGAGAAGUUCUGAUGCAAUGGAGACCACCUUUCUCUAGGAUUUGUUCACAAUGUCUGAGGAAAAGAUGUAUUGCCACCAGUAAAUCCAGAAUGAGAACUACUUCUAAACAACAUUAGAAAUAAUCUAGUCUCAGGAAAGUCUCAAGGAUAUUGUAAUACAGAAAUGUCUGCAUCAAGCAUGAAAUAAAUCUGUGUUAGACUUUGUGAUGCACCAAGCAGUAUUGGCUGUUGAUUGCCAAAAACUCUCAGUAUCUCUACUUCAUGGAAACAAAGGUUUUGCACCAGGCAGAAUUAUGUGAAACAUAAAAUUGACGAGUUCAUCAGAACAAUUUGUUUCAUUAACCAAGUGCUAAAAGGGGAAGCUUUAAUAGAAAGUGGGACUUCUCAAGGAAAUCCUGCUGAGUAUUCUAAAGGCUAUGCUUUAAUGAGCAGACGAGUAAGUUACCUUGGAGAGGAAAGCUAGCCUAGUAAAGAAGGAACAAAGGUGAUAAUUAAACAAGAAAUCAAUGUUAAGUAUGGAAAAGAGAGGCAUAACUGAGAAUGAAAAUUGAAUCUACACAAUGUAAAUGACUUUUUGGAGAAGAUAAAGGUAAUAAAUAAUUAUUACUGGCCGAUAGAGCUUAAGACAAUAAGAAGACAUUACCAAUGAAUUUGGAACAAAAGAACAACUAAAUCAAGUAUAGAUUUCAGUCUUGCAGAAGAAAACCAGAAAAGAACCAAUGGCUGGAAAUCAAAGCUUGAAAAAUUCAAUCACUAUAAAGAUGCAGUGAGGGUGAUUAGACGUAGAAAUAAUUUCCCAGUGUAGGUAGGUGGUAAGUUUGCCAUUGCUAGGAAUUUAAUCCAAUUGGAUACACUUUAAUCUGAGUCUGGGAACAAGCUUGGCAGAAUCUCUGUGGAUGGCAGCAGAGGUCAUUUGUUCUGUGCAAUCUUUACAUCUGUGAAUUUGUAUUUGUGUUUUGUCACUCCCUUUUUUCAUAAACUGUUACAAAGAACAGAGAGCUCUCAUUGCUCACAACAUGUUCACACACUCAGCUUUGCUUUAAGAUAAUGAUUAAAAAAUCUCAGUCUUAUGCUUCAGGGCUUCAGCUGGCUGCUUGCAGAAGGUGAGAGGCUGAUUCUCUAGGUUAAUUCUGGAUAUUUUUUUAAAUUCAUUUUUCUCCAAAGCCUCAGGGUCAGACAUGGCUGGUGGUAAAACCUUGGAGAGACUGGGCUGCUUCUCCGCAGGGAAGUUCUCUCUUUUAUAUAGCUGCUAUCUUCUGUCUGGCUAGGGGAUCAGACAGUUUUAGGGUAGCAGGGACUUUGAGCUCUUUUUUCUUUCCUGUUCAUUACGACAUCUAGGCAUAUCUGAGAUCAUAAUUAUGAUCAUUUGGGCAUAUCUGAUAUAAACAACUCAAAAUCAUUACUGGAGCCUGGGGGAGAGGCAUCAGAGUUUUUUUUUGAAUUCUCAUUAGCUUAAUUUCUUCAAGAUAGAUUUUUCUUUUGUUUUGUUGGGACUUUUUUGGGGAUUUUGUUGGUUUUCUUUUUUGCAUAACCCAGCUCACUGUGGCAAGCAAUGGUAAACAGGUGAACAAUUACACCACACACAAAACAGCAGGCUGUCUGUUAUGGUUUAAAUCCUGAAUUAUAGCUUACUCUUGCUGCAGUAAGAGUUAUAGGUUACAAAUACUGUUUAUUUUUUCAGAAAGGGCUGCUGCCAGUUGGGAUGCUUGAUGGAGUUGCAGAGCUGCCACACAGGCUUUCUGAGUGCUGCUUUGCUGGCUGCAUGCAGCAGCUAACAAAGGGUGUGUUGUGCUUGCAGCAGCGUUGCUUCCAAGUCUGGCUUUCCUUCUGCAGUACUGCUUUUGUUUAAAAAACCUGCUCCUCCAAAGCAAGAAUAAGAAACUUUAUUAACAUUGCACUAUCAGAGUGGCAGGAUACAACAGAUUUGCUUAUUGUUUUGGUUCUGUUGAAUUGCAAAGAGCAGUGGGUGGAAAGGGUAUGUCAGGAGAUACUGGAAGCCAAGCUAUGUAUCAUCAUCUCCUAAGAGGCAAACAGGUCUGCCAGCGUUCUGCCUGGUGGCUGUGCUGGCAGGUGUCUGCUCUUAAACUGCUCUGUUACAUGCAUGUGAAAGUACUCACGUGCUUCAAAAAUAUCCUCUUUUCCAUUCAGAAAGCUGUCAACAGGCACCUAUUAUCCUUCAAAGCUGUGAAAAGAGACCUGCUGUUUCAUCAACAUCAGCAUGUUUUCUUCCUAAGCAUGUGCAGAAAAGAGAGCCUCCCUCUGAUAUGAGCCCUUAUAUAUUAUAUUUGUGUGUCAAGUUGAGGGACAUCUUUUCAGGUGCUACUUACUGUGUGCAAGUGGAACUGGCACUUGCUUGGGUAAAUAAACAUAUUGGCUUAUUGCACAAUUUACCUUACCUGUGAUAAACCAUCUAUUCCAUGAUUUAUCAUAUGUCAUUUUGCAUCACCUAUAACAUUGGCUUAUGAUAUGUAUAUGUUUAAUUUUGGGCUAAUCCUGUACCCACUGUCUCCAGGGUGGCUGAGUACCUAUCUCAUAGCUCUGCACACCUCAGUAGGGGUUUGUAUGUAGGAGCUGCAAGCAAAGGUAAGUCCAGCUGGAAAACUGGAGAUGGAUGGAUUGACAGAGAUGAAGGGAAAACCCAGCAGAUCCAGAUCAUUCCCUGAAUGGCAGAACUAAAGAGAGCAGUUGCUCUGGCUUUGUCUCAUUGCGGUGCAAGACAUUUGUGUUUGUCCCAGUGAAGUGCCCUCUUCCAUGGUACUUUCCAAUCUCUCUGUCUCAUAGUGAGAUGUCUCACUUAACCCUAGCUCCUCUUGACUCCAUGGCUUUUAGCUGCUGUUGCUUGGCCUAACAGCUGGGAAUGACCCAGAAGAUGCUGUUCUGGAGGUGCACUCAUGCGAGGUGGCCAACCUGUAUGUGUCCAGCAUGGUCAGCAGCUGCUACCAGAUGAACUUAAUCGACUGCUCCUCUUCUCUUCUGGCAGCAAAAUUAAUGAUUUUGGGGGCUGCCUUCUAUGAUGUGCUGAAUUUUGCACAGGUCUGUUAUAAGAUUUUCCUACUUAAAAAAUGACUACACUGUUCAGCUCACUUGAAGCUGAACAAACAUGACAGAGAGAUGGUGUGAUGCACGCAAGCUUCAUUUUCUCACGAACCCAAGCUAAAAAAAAAAACCCCAAAUAUGCCUAAGAAAAUUUUCAGCCAACAUUUGAGAUGCUUGCCAUUAAUUAUCAAAAUGAAGAAGCAGAGUGUGCAAACACAGCAUUGAUUCAAACCAUCAGAAUCAAUUUAUCAAAAAAUAGAUGUGUUGAAAAUAAUACAUAAAACACAUUAGACUUGUACACUGCCCAGUAUCUCUAUUUAGUUUCUGCACCUGGCCUUGUUUUAACAGCCUCCAACCCUAAAAAUCACCUUGCUUUCCCCAAACUCUAGAAGAUAAACAGAAUUUAGGACCAUUUUCUUCCUUAGGUGUCAGAGAACCUUUGUCUUUUAAGGUUGUUUAUCCAAAGUGAGUAAAUUGAACUGGGUCAGCCUGAAUUAUGGAGAUGUUCUUCAGAGUGCCUGUGUUCCUGGAGCAUCUCUGGAGGACUGCUAGUCUGCAAGGUGUCUGCCACCAACCCGUCCUCUUGGCUGUUCUUGCUCACAGAGCUUCUGUGCUGUGACAAACAUACCUAUGCAGGCUUUGCAGAGCAGAUCUGGAUUUGUUGAUGCAAAAAGAUGUAGAUGCUAAACAUGCAUUUAUUGUGUCACUGUUGCUGUUGCUGUAAAGUCAGUAUUUUAAAGGCUUUAAAAUUUCUGGAAAUGGAUUUUUGAUUUAUUCUGAUAACAGUGUUCUGGUGCUUAUUCACUUGCCAUCUGUGUUCUGAAGGCCAGUUGGGAACUAUGGCUCUUACAAAUCAUCCCGUGCAUUUUGCGUUAAUCCAGACCUUCCUGCACUUCACUUGGUAGUUGUAAAUACAGUUUAUAAUUAAUACAGAAUGUGGUUCUUCUGCCCUGUGACUUGGAAACAUUAAAAGACAGCAUUCAGUCAUAGUUUAUGCAUCUGGUAAUGCAGACUGGGUUUUUUAAAAAGCCCAAAAGAAUUAGGCAUUCAAAUUUCAUUAAAAUGCUGUGGAAGUGAAGCAUAUAAGCUCUAUUAAAAGGCUCAGCCAUUAUCUAUAGCUCUUGGGUUUUUUUCCUCCAAUUUAAUUUGUUCAUAAGCCUGCUUUGGGGAGAGAAAUGGACAGGGCUGAUUUUGCUCACCUUUCCUUCUCCUUGGUGUUGAGGAAGAGCCCUGCCUUAGAGUUUGAGCAUGCUGUGGCUCACUGAGUUCUUCCAUUUUGAACUGCAGCUUCAUGUACCCACACAGGUACUGUUUGUAUAAUUAAAACCUCAUUUUCCUAUCUGUAAAAAUGAACCUAAGUAUCUCAUCAAUAAAGCUGGUGAUAUAGUUUGGUGAAUAUGAUGUUGACAAUUAUUUACCCAUAUAUAUGUUUGUCUAUUUAUCUAUCUCUGUAUCUAUGACAUCCUGGAAAUUAUCUGUACUUUUUAACACUUUGAAAUUUACAGGGAGAAAAAGCUGGAUUAAAAUCAGUGCAGAAAAUAAAAUUAUGCUACAGAAUGUAGAAUAAUUGGAUAUGUUUCUUUGAAAUACAAUGCAAUAUGACUGUUACUGUAAUAUUCUGUCACAUGUCUGAGAGAACACAGAAGUUUCCUUUAUAUGCAAGAAUGAGGAAAGUACAAAAUGAUAAAUAUAAUGAAGAGAAAGAUGAGGGAUCAAUAGGAUACAUAAUCAGGUGAAGGAGAGUAAGUAGGGAGGGAAGUUUGUUCUCCAGUCAGAAGGGAUUGCUGCAGCAGUACAGAAUAUGCAGAAUUGCUGCAGGAAGGAGUUAAUCAUUGUGCCAGCAACACUCAGCCCCUAUUUAUUGCAAAAGAGAAUUAAUGGUUUUCCUGCCUGGUGCUGAAAAUAGAAGUAAAAUUUAAGUUGUUUCUUGAAGGCAGAUAUAAUUAGAUUGUGAAACUUGUGGCUUUUGGGUCUAAAUAAUAGGACAAGAAUGACUACCCUAAAUCAGAACAGAGUGCAGUCUCUUAACUGUUUCUUAGGAGUGAGAAUAGGACAAGCACAGAGUGAUACUUUUCCCCAUUUUCCAGCUGUGAACAAUGUACACUCUACUUAUACUGUAGAUAAGGUGCAUUAUAUAUUUAUUAUCCUUUGCUGAACCCUUUCUCUACAGAUUGUUCCAAUUAUUUAUUAAACCCAUUUAUAUUUCUGUUAGCCACAACAUUCUUGUAACAAUAGACUAUACUCUGUGGCUGUGAAUUGUACAGAAAAUUUCUGUUUGAUUAAAACUGUGAUACUUGGUGCUUGUUAAGUUUUAUGAUAGGAUGAUUAGCUAGCAAAGAUUUCUUACUAACUAUAUUAUAUUCACUUUUAUAUACAGUUAUUUCUUCUCUUUCAUCUCCUUUUCAAGUGGAAAAGUACUUUCAUCCACCCUCAUACAGUUACAACAGUGUACUGCUAUUCAUCUGUGUUGUCUAGUAUACACCAUUCCUACUUCUAAUAAACCUUUGGACAUGGAUCAUUCAGACUUAGGUGAAGUUUUUGCAGUCUGGAUUUAUACAGUGGUGUAAUAUUGUUUCUUUUCAUUUUUACAUAAUGAUUUUUAAUUCAGUUUACAUUUUCUGUCUGCCAGUGAGCACUGGACAAAUGUUUUCAGAGAGUUGUCAACAAGGAGUCUAAGAUUCUUCCUGAAGUGGUACUAAAUUAUUUAUUUGUUUCUUAUUUGUCACUGUGUAUGUACAGUUAAGCUUCCCCCAUGUGUACUACUUUGCAUGUAUCGAUAUUAAAUAAUGUCUACAUUUUUUGUUGCUGAAUCACUCACUGUUCAGUAUAAUGACACCUUUUGAGGUAUUGAAUGUUUUGAGUAAUUUCUAUCAUCAGCAAACUUUACCAUCUCAUUAUUAAUUCCCUUUUCCAGAUCAUUUAUGAAUAUAUUGAAGAGGGAAAAUUCUAGUGCAGAUAUCUGAUCACUUCUCUCCCAUGGUGAAAACAAUUUAUUACUAUACUCCAACACAUCAUUUAUCUACUGAAGAAUUUUCAUCCUUCUGAUAAUUUAGUUUCUUUAAGAGCCUUUAGAGAGAGGACUUGUCAAAACAUUCAACUGGAAAUUCAAGAACACUACAGCAACUGGCAUUCAAAAGCUGGCUGACAUCUUUAAAGAACUAUUAAUACCAUCAUUUUAAUCAGCAAACAGUAAAUUGAAACCCCCAAAUUUAGUUUCUUUAUUUGAAAAUAUUACAUUAUUUGUAUACUAAGAAUAUCUCAAUUAUUUUUACUAUUCAUAUGAAGGUUUCUAGCAGUUAGUGACAAUUUCUGCAGAAAAGUUAUUUACUAUGAUGCCAGAAGCUCCAGAGCAAGGUACAGCUUUUCACUGACCCUGAGUGGAGCGUGGUUUCUUUGCGAUAUAAGUCUUCUAUUUAUUUUCUGUAAAUGACACAUCCCUGAAGCAACAGGGAGGGAAUGAAAGUUACAUUUUAUCACAGUAGCGUUUGCAGAAAGGUGAACUGUGAGAGUCCCUAUUUAUAAUGAAGCUUGGGCCAGCCAUGAGUUCCUAAAAACCUUACCUGCAGGUGCUUAAUUUUUUUUAUUAAAAAAUUGAUAUCUGAGCUUUAUGAACUUAUGAUUAAACUUUUAAAAUAAAUUAAAGGUGAGAGGAUUAGAUGUGAAAUUGGAAAUGAACUAUGGUAUCUUUUGCCUCUAGCUCAGCAUUUUGAAGGCAAUCCAAAUGAGAUGUGACAAAGUGCAGUCCACUCUUUUUUUUAUUUUUGCUGACCUAUGUGAAAGUGGAGUUUGGUCUCUGCCAAGUUCUUUGUGUGUGAAUAGCCACAGCACUAUCCCUGCUACUGUAAUUAGCACUAUUAACCCUUUAUUAUAAUUUAAAAUAAAUAGGCCAUGAUUUAGAUAUCAAAGAGACUAAAUCAUCCUCUUAGAUGAUCCGCCCAGACUAGAAGAACAGCCAGCUCCCACCAGCUCUCCUUUUUCCACUGUUUGACGCAAGUUACAAAGUCUGUUAUGGGACUUGGCUAUUCUUGGGAAAUUCCUUCCUGAUGGGAAGAACUUCAGCAGAAUUCCUCAUGAUGUCCAAAAAGGCGCUCCUACAUCUUCAAACUCCAAUCUAAACUUCACACACUUCCUCAAGAGAAUAAAGUUAAUCUACAUUGGCUUUUGCUUAUAAUGGCCUUGAUGCUGUUUCUGCUACCUGUUUACUGUUAGGCUGCCAGAAAAUCUUCAGACCUGUAAGUACAACCAGGUUAUCUCUCCUAGUCUUCCUACACUUAUAUAAGCCCUCAUGCAGUAGUAGAUGCCCUGGGAGGGAAAAUGGGAAGUGUUUUUUAAGAGAAACAUUGCAUGCAUCUUAGUGUUCACAUGAAUGCACCUACAGCUGGUGGUGACCAUCCUACCCCUUUCUCUUUGCUUAACCGAAACCCCAGCUGCUGCUUCUCUUUUCCCCAAAGCACCUAGUGGAUUUUCUGUUGCUCCUCUAUCUGAACUUUUAAUCUGCUCCAUGGAGAGAAGAGGAAGACUUAGCAGCUGGAAAUGGCCUAGUCCUUCAACCACACUGCUUGCCAAUGGUUGCUGGGUGAACAGAGGGCCAGUAAUCCUUAUCCUGCUGCCAUUCAGAGCCCCAAAUGAUGUACAGCAUACACCAAUGCUUCUGGACAAAGUAUGAUGGCACAGAAAUCUGUCAUUGCUCUUCUGGGGCAGUGAUCAUUAUCCAAAUGGUCUCUACGUUGUGGUAAUGGGAAAAAUAUUGAUGGCCUCAAUGUCUAUUGCAUUGGAUUAUUUCAAAAGCGAUUAGCAAUGACACCGGAGCCAAUGACGGGUGAUACACUACUGCCCUGCUUUAAAAGUCCUACAUGUUAUGUCAGCAGUAUGCUGGUAUUCAGCCUUCAAACAGAUGCAUGCCUUCAAACCACACAAGCACUAGCUGUUAUUUUGGAAGAAAAGAGCAGCAGUGUAAAUGUGCUUUUUUCGAUAUUUUCAGCUAAUUCUGGUCUAUUUUAAGUUUUUAUUCAAAAUAACUAUUUGGACUUAGUAUUAGAACAACAAAAACAUGCUGUGUCUUUCAAUGCAGACAAAAACUUAAGCUGUCAAUAUGCAAUCCUUGAAACAAUGAGAAUUUCAGCAACCAAGUAUGAGGCAAUUCUUGUUUCCCACGCUAGGUCAGCAUUUUCUUGUAGAGUUAGUUCAUGUCGUCAUAGGGUGCUCCAUGGAGGUGACUCAUUUGUGUAUUUUGGAGUUCAGACAAAGCCUACUAGCUGACUUUUCUCUGUUACCUUCCACAUGUUUUCCUGCACUUGGAACAGCACAGUCUGCCUGCUAUCUGCAAAUGAAACAGCUUCUCAUCUAUAUUUUCCUUACACACAAAGAGACUUCUAAGUGUGUCAGGCUAUGGCUGAGAAAGCUAGAUUGCAUGCUACCUGAAAAUUUUCACAGAGGGAUCUAAAAAUGAUCUUGUUUAAUUAACAGAUAGGGGUGUUUUUCUGUGCUGGUCCAACUAUUUGACAACUGCUACAGCUUGUAAAGUUGAGUAUAAUUACACAGGGCUGAAGAUCCCUAAUAAUGCAGUAGUUUUUCAUCUGUAUAGAAGUAACUAUGCCAGAAUGGCUGUAUUCAUAUAGACAUUACUGCAAUACAUGGUACCAGAUGUACCAUUUUAACUAUCUCGGUAUUGUUAAAAUGGGCAGUUUAACAUUUAUGUGUGUAUAAAGCCUUUAAGCAGAGAAAUGCUCAAUCUGUUCUCCAUUUUGGAAAAGUAUUUAUUACCUUAGGAAGAUUGUAGUCACCUUGACAACAUGAAGCUUUGCUCAAACUCUAUCAGUUCAAUUCUCUCUAUGUAGUCAGACAUGAAAUUGAGUUACAGUGGCUUAAUGGGUUACCACAUGUCAGUGGAGACAAAUCUGUGUGCAGUCCAGUAGCCCAUUGCCAAUACAAGGCAGAAAUCAUUAGAUCAAACAACUCCAUUUCACAGAGGUUUUAAAGAGUUUUUUCUUCUCAUGUAUGCUUGUAGUCUAAGAAUGAACACACAAUCUAUUGCUAUGUUCAGCUGAAGACUAAGGCAUUAUUAAGCAGUAAUAAGUUGAUCUUGUAACUGAGCUACAAAUCAGAAUUUUUAAAUAAUUUAAUUAAAUCAGUUUUAAAUUACUGAAUGGGAACUGAAAACAUGUAUAUAAGAAAUUAAUCUCUUUUAUAUGCUGACAAAAUAACACCUGUAAUGAGUGCAUUUAGUUCACUUAUAUACUGAUGACUGGAUAUUUUCAGAGGUAGCUUAGAAUCCAUGAUUUCCAUUUGAAAUAUUUCCAGGUGUGUUUAGGCAGUUUUUUUUUCCCAUUUAUCCCUAGAAUUUCAUGUUUAUGCUUGUUUCAAGAAAAUUACAUGAUCUUUUGGACUUCAGACAAUUUUACCUUCAUAAUGAAUCUUCUUUUUUAUUUUUUCAACCUGUCACAGAUUUGCUGACAUAUAAAGAAACACCUUUGGAGAGCCAAACCGCAACAUUAUGAACAAACAGCUAUAUUUGGGUUUGAUUCUUAACAAAACCAUGCUCUUUGUUUUGUAAGUUUUACUAAAAAAGAUAAAAUAAUUACUAUACUUAAAUUAAUGGCUCAAUAGAUAUCUCAUCUCUUGAUUAUAAUUAUGCUUAUAGCAAGAACAUUGCCAUCAAAUGUAAUGCCUGAAAAUGUUGUGAGAACUUCAAGAAACUGAGAUCUGACUACAAAUCAUCAAGUAAUGCCUCUAGGGUAAUGUGUUGAAGAAAAAGAGGGUUCUGCUCUUUCAGAAUUAAAAAAGAUUGUGGUCAUAUUAAAGUUUAUGUUAGUUUCAUCUUAGCUGACACUAAAGACCAUAAUUAUUUGCAAGAGAAAUUUGUAAGUAAAUAUUGUCAGCAUUUUUUCACACUUUUUUGUUGUGAAACAGAAACCAUUGAAUAUAAUGAGAAGGAAGUUAAGAAAUUCCCUCUCAGGAUACUGUGAGUUUCUUACAUAUUGCCACACCCUGUCAGUAAAAAACAGAUCUCUUAAUUGCAGCUAAUCUAGAUUGCUUGAAAUACUGAACUGCAAGCACCCGGCCAAAUUCUGUUUAGCAGCAAUGCUUACAGUUGCUCCUGGUGUCAAAAACUCCUGAGGUCAGAAUUUUAUCACCACUUCUUUAGCUUACUAGCAGAUUCUCCCUCUCGUUUUUGAGGGCUGUUGUGGUUUUUUUUUUGUUUUGUUGUGUUUUUUUGUUGCUGUAAGAAAAAGAGAGAGGAGAAAAAAAGCUCUAAACACUGAGCUAUUAUCUCUAAAAUUGAUUUAUGAUGGCUUAUGAAAUUUACCUGUACUUCAGUCCUUGAGGAGAAAAACAGUUGGGAGUAAAAGUAAUUUCAUAAUUAUGCUCAUCAGUCUCAUUUUUGGUAUCUUUUUUGAGCCAUGAGUAAAAGCACAAAUGUUCUUUUCAAGUAAGGUGGACCUGAGACUGAUUUCUCAUCAACCUCCAAAUAACCUGUCUGUAGUAACUUCUGGUUUACCUGGAUUGGAUUAGGUUUGGCAAAUUGGAGGUACACUGCUUUCCUGGAAAUCUCAGGAAAAAAAAGCUCCCAGGAAGUCAGUUUUCCACUAAAUUGUAAAAAAGUUUUAUCAAGUUUUUUUGUUUUUUUUUAUCUUAAUCUUUGUGCAGCAUUAAUUUGCAUAUUUCAUUCCUUACUGUAAAUUUUGUUCCAUGGCAAUUGCAUUGCUUUUUAUAACUGUGCUGUGAAUGAAGCAAGCCUUAGAACUAUUCUUUUCUAUUUUGACUUUUUUGUAUGUGUUUCUAUUUAUAGAUAAGGAUGGGACCAACUUCCCACCUUUUGAUAAGUAAAGAAUAAAACAGGUAAUUCUAUGGUAAGACCUGUCAGAAUCAGUCAAAGGGAACAUGUUAUUUUUAGUCCUACUGACUUUUUGGAUAAAAGCUUAAAAGGAGGAAGAUCAACAUAUAACUGAAAUUAAGCCCUUGACAAUGCCUAUUCUGCUGUGUAAUUCAUAAAUUAAUGGGUCAUGAAAAGACCUUUAAAGAAUGUUAUCCAUCAGAAAUACUACCUUUGUAUGUGCAGUGCCUGCAUCCCAGAAACCCUUGUGUUGAAUUUGCCUUACUAGGAGCCUGCAAUCCUUUUGAGAAAGGAUGAAAGGACCAUAAAAUAAGUUUAUGUUGUUCAGUCACCAAAUGUUAUAAAUGACUAACACAAUAUAAGCAAACCAGUAAAUCUAAUCUUUUGCAAUAUGUAUAUUUAACAGUCAUAAAAUCUACUUUUGGGGGUGUUGAUAUUAGACCUUUGUUUUAGAUGAUGCUUGCCAUAUAUCUAAAUUUUUUAGAUCUCUGAAUAAAGCUAAUUUUUCUUUCUAGAAGCAAACAUAUAAUUUCCAAGGUGACAAGAAAUCUCCCACAGAAAUUGUACAAUAAUAGGAUCUAGUAAAUGCUUGCUAUUCAAAAUAAGUUUACCACCACAGCAUCUGAAAACCUCAUCGUGAAGGUGACAGACAAGUGUCCAGAAGGCAGAUCUCACUGCGUGAAAAACAUGGGAGGUGUUUGCCUCCACUAAUUUGUCUGGCUAUCAAGCUCAGUUACUGACCACUGGGUUCCAAAGUGAGGAGUGAAAGCAUGCUUUGCCAUGGUUUAAUGCUCUUCAGGCCAAAACCUCUCCAGUGAUGCACUAUUAAAAGUGCAAAUCAGAAAGUGAGCAGAGCAGGGACCACAACAUGGACUAGAACUGUGACAGUUCACUCUUCAUAAUUAAACUGAUAGCAAGAUUAAGUAAGGGUUUCUUUUAUAAAAUGAAGAGUGCAGGAUGGUAAGAGGUAAUCUGCCUUUUAAUAGAAACAAGAUAUGAAACAUGUAUUCUCGUGUUUGUACUGGAUAAGAUCCUAUUCAAUGCUGAUGAUGUAAUAUGUGAAUGUUGGAUGGAAAUAAGAUGAUUUACAUUUAUUAUAUGUUAUGCCAUGUAACGAUUAUCUAAAGUAUCUUUUCUUUGUCAUGAUUUAAAACCAGAUCUUAUCAUGUCAUGGAAAAUAUGAAAAAAAAGAUUUUGUGAACACUGGAUGUGUGCAUAUGUUAUCUUACAAUGCUUGCCACUUAUGAGGAUAUAGAAAACAGACUGUUUAUUCUCCAGAGAAGUUUAAAGUAUUAAUUAUUUUGAAUGCUCUUUAAUAUAAUUGGUACUUCCAAAGAACUUGACUUAGAAAAUUAGAAGUUUCUAAAGCAAACACCCAACAAACAAACACCCAGCAAUUCUUUCUGGGCUUCAUUUUAGCUAGUUGUGCAUACUUAAAUGAGACUAAGAUUUUCCCUAAAAUUGUUAAAACUAUGUAUGUUUAGAAUGGUAACUAAUUCCUAAUAGCACCUUUAAAUCACAGUAUUUACAUUCCUGAUCCAAAAGACAACAAAGAAGUCACAGAGAAAAAAUAAUUGUCCAUAUCUGUAGAUAUAUGACAUAGCAUAGAAACAUAGAAUGUUUUUUCCCCCUAAUGCUUGUAGUUUUCAUACUUUGUUUUUCUAAGUCAGAGUGCUUCAGGUUGGGAUCUCGGUAUCUGAUUGUGGAACAGCUCCAUGAAGAGAGAUUGUGAGCAGUGCUUCUUACACUAGCUGAGACCCUGUGGGGCAGAACACUCCUUUGGAUAGUGAGAUAAUAUCACCAUCAUGUCUUAAAUAGGAAUCUCCAACAUUUGACUCUUCACUACCACAUUCCUUGCUAUUAAAUUGUUGUGGUCUGUUUGGUGUUUUCCUGAAUGUAUUAAAUCUUUCUAUCCUCAACAACUAGUGUGAUCUUGAUGAUAUGAUUAAUUUGACAAUAUUUCCAUAUUUCUUAAAAAACCCUCCAAACCAGCUGGAUUAACUCUAGGUUAGUUCAGAAAUAUAUCACACAUUGUCAUCAUAAAUAAAUUUGUUUGACAGUACCUAUACGUGUCCUUUGUUCACUAUCAUAAUUCU